GCUGGGUGUGGUGGCCCACGCCUGUAAUCCCAGCACUUUGGGAGGCUGAGGCAGGUGGAUCACCUGAGGUCAGGAGUUCAAGACCAGCCUGGCCAACAUGGUGAAACCCCGUCUCUA
This is a non-coding RNA of Pan troglodytes (chimpanzee), 117 nucleotides long. It matches the Rfam family "Metazoan signal recognition particle RNA". From Rfam's summary of the family: The signal recognition particle (SRP) is a universally conserved ribonucleoprotein. It is involved in the co-translational targeting of proteins to membranes. The record is from Rfam. Lineage: Eukaryota; Metazoa; Chordata; Mammalia; Primates; Hominidae.